GGAUCCAGACUUUGAUUCUGGCUCAGAUUGAACGCUGGCGGCAUGCCUUACACAUGCAAGUCGAACGGCAGCGCGGGGCAACCUGGCGGCGAGUGGCGAACGGGUGAGUAAUAUAUCGGAACGUGCCCUGGAGUGGGGGAUAACGCAGCGAAGGUUGCGCUAAUGCCGCAUACGAUCUAAGGAUGAAAGUGGGGGAUUCGCAAGAACCUCAUGCUCCUGGAGCGGCCGAUAUCUGAUUAGCUAGUUGGUGGGGUAAAGGCCUACCAAGGCAUCGAUCAGUAGCUGGUCUGAGAGGACGACCAGCCACACUGGAACUGAGACACGGUCCAGACUCCUACGGGAGGCAGCAGUGGGGAAUUUUGGACAAUGGGCGAAAGCCUGAUCCAGCAAUGCCGCGUGAGUGAAGAAGGCCUUCGGGUUGUAAAGCUCUUUUGUCAGGGAAGAAACGGUGAAGGCUAAUAUCCUUUGCUAAUGACGGUACCUGAAGAAUAAGCACCGGCUAACUACGUGCCAGCAGCCGCGGUAAUACGUAGGGUGCAAGCGUUAAUCGGAAUUACUGGGCGUAAAGCGUGCGCAGGCGGUUUUGUAAGUUUGUCGUGAAAGCCCCGGGCUCAACCUGGGAAUUGCGAUGAAGACUGCAAGGCUUGAAUCUGGCAGAGGGGGGUAGAAUUCCACGUGUAGCAGUGAAAUGCGUAGAGAUGUGGAGGAACACCGAUGGCGAAGGCAGCCCCCUGGGUCAAGAUUGACGCUCAUGCACGAAAGCGUGGGGAGCAAACAGGAUUAGAUACCCUGGUAGUCCACGCCCUAAACGAUGUCUACUAGUUGUCGGGUUUUAAUUAACUUGGUAACGCAGCUAACGCGUGAAGUAGACCGCCUGGGGAGUACGGUCGCAAGAUUAAAACUCAAAGGAAUUGACGGGGACCCGCACAAGCGGUGGAUGAUGUGGAUUAAUUCGAUGCAACGCGAAAAACCUUACCUACCCUUGACAUGUACGGAAGCCACGAGAGAUCGAGGUGUGCUCGAAAGAGAGCCGUAACACAGGUGCUGCAUGGCUGUCGUCAGCUCGUGUCGUGAGAUGUUGGGUUAAGUCCCGCAACGAGCGCAACCC
This 1108-nucleotide ribosomal RNA is filed under the name uncultured bacterium. Its description in RNAcentral is "bacterial SSU rRNA". It matches the Rfam family "Bacterial small subunit ribosomal RNA", at positions 1 to 1104 of the family's 1533-position model. The record is from RNAcentral.